CCUACGGGAGGCAGCAGUGAGGAAUAUUGGUCAAUGGACGAGAGUCUGAACCAGCCAAGUAGCGUGAAGGAUGACUGCCCUAUGGGUUGUAAACUUCUUUUAUAUGGGAAUAAAACGUUCCACGUGUGGGAUUUUGUAUGUACCAUAUGAAUAAGGAUCGGCUAACUCCGUGCCAGCAGCCGCGGUAAUACGGAGGAUCCGAGCGUUAUCCGGAUUUAUUGGGUUUAAAGGGAGCGUAGGUGGAUUGUUAAGGCAGUUGUGAAAGUUUGCGGCUCAACCGUAAAAUUGCAGUUGAAACUGGCAGUCUUGAGUGCAGGAGAGGUGGGCGGAAUUCGUGGUGUAGCGGUGAAAUGCUUAGAUAUCACGAAGAACUCCGAUUGCGAAGGCAGUUCACUGGACUGCAACUGACACUGAGGCUCGAAAGUGUGGGUAUCAAACAGGAUUAGAUACCCUUGUAGUC
RNAcentral lists this ribosomal RNA (460 nucleotides) under uncultured bacterium. RNAcentral describes it as "partial 16S ribosomal RNA". It matches the Rfam family "Bacterial small subunit ribosomal RNA", at positions 338 to 795 of the family's 1533-position model. The record is from RNAcentral.